Molecule: ribosomal RNA, 484 nt
Filed under: uncultured bacterium
Lineage: Bacteria
Description: partial 16S ribosomal RNA
Rfam family: Bacterial small subunit ribosomal RNA
Source: RNAcentral
AUUGAACGCUGGCGGCAGGCCUAACACAUGCAAGUCGAGCGGAAGAAGGGAGCUUGCUCCUGGAUUCAGCGGCGGACGGGUGAGUAAUGCCUAGGAAUCUGCCUGGUAGUGGGGGAUAACGUCCGGAAACGGGCGCUAAUACCGCAUACGUCCUGAGGGAGAAAGUGGGGGAUCUUCGGACCUCACGCUAUCAGAUGAGCCUAGGUCGGGUUAGCUAGUUGGUGGGGUAAAGGCCUACCAAGGCGACGAUCCGUAGCUGGUCUGAGAGGAUGAUCAGUCACACUGGAACUGAGACACGGUCCAGACUCCUACGGGAGGCAGCAGUGGGGAAUAUUGGACAAUGGGCGAAAGCCUGAUCCAGCCAUGCCGCGUGUGUGAAGAAGGUCUUCGGAUUGUAAAGCACUUUAAGUUGGGAGGAAGGGCAGUAAGUUAAUACCUUGCUGUCUUGACGGUACCAACAGAAUAAGCACCGGCUAACUUCGUG